UCCGGCUUAUCACCGGCGGUUUCUUUAGAGUGCCCAACUAAAUGAUGGCAACUAAAGACGAGGGUUGCGCUCGUUGCGGGACUUAACCCAACAUCUCACGACACGAGCUGACGACAGCCAUGCAGCACCUGUGCAGCCGUCCCGAAGGACGCUCCAGGUUUCCCCAGAGCUUCAGCUGCAUGUCAAGCCCAGGUAAGGUUCUUCGCGUUGCGUCGAAUUAAACCACAUGCUCCACCGCUUGUGCGGGCCCCCGUCAAUUCCUUUGAGUUUCAGCCUUGCGGCCGUACUCCCCAGGCGGGGCACUUCAUGCGUUAGCGUCGGCCCUCAAGGGGUCGCUCCCCCAAAGACCUAGUGCCCAUCGUUUACGGCGUGGACUAC
This 378-nucleotide unclassified non-coding RNA is filed under the name uncultured bacterium. RNAcentral describes it as "contains 16S-23S intergenic spacer region". The record is from RNAcentral.